This 1496-nucleotide long non-coding RNA is filed under the name Macaca fascicularis (crab-eating macaque). RNAcentral describes it as "lncRNA (ENSMFAG00000053784.1)". Lineage: Eukaryota; Metazoa; Chordata; Mammalia; Primates; Cercopithecidae. The record is from RNAcentral.
UUUUUUUUUUUUUUUUUUUGAGAUGGAGUCUGGCUCUGUUACCCAAGCUGGAGUGCAGUGGCACGAUCACGGCUCACUGUAACCUCUGCCUCCCGGGUUCAAGCGAUUCUCCUGCCUCAACCUCCCUAGUAGCUGGGAUUACAGGUGCACACCACCAGGCUGGCUAAUUUUUCUAUUUUUAGUAGAGACAGGGUUUCACCAUGUUGGCGGGGCUGGUCUCGAACUCCUGGCCUCAGGUGAUCCGCCCACCUCGGCCCCCCAAAGUGUUGGGAUUACAGGCAUGAGCCACUGCACCCGGUUCCAUAGUUUCUUUUAACCAGCUUAUGUAAAUUUGCUAGUGCAGAAACUUGUGAUUUACCAUGACUGUUGCCAUAUGUCCUCAGUCUCCUCAUUCCAUAACAGCUGCCCCACAGCCAGGGUCCUUCACCAAGUUCGUGCCUGGGCGUCUCUCUAAGUUGCUUUCUCCAAAACUGCAGGAGCCUGCUUAACCCUUUUCAUGCAUGACACAGAAUUUCAGAGGAGUUAACACCCUCAGAAGCAACCCUCAACUAAGGUGAAUAAUACCUCCACCCCCCCAUCACCUGGUGUGACAGUUCUAAGGAGUGUUCUGCACAGCUUUCCACAGUGUUAAUCCAGUUCAUCAAGACACCAAUUAUUGAUGUUUUCUCUUUUUUGUCUCACUGUUUCCAUUCCGUUCUCCUGUUUUCAAGGUUAACUCCUGAAUAAACUAUUUGCACCUAAGUCUUCAUCUCAGAGUUUGCUUCUUAGGGAACCUGAACUAAAACAAGUUGUGCUUUAUAACUUUUGCAGUGAGGUUCAAUCAGCAUCUACUUCUGAGUUUUUGUUGGUUCUAUGUGUAGUUUGUUGCUCAUUGAUUUUUGUCCGCUGAUUUAAUCAAACAUGUGUAUGUGAUGCAAAGCUAACUAAGACAUGGCCCCUACUCUCAAAGUGUUUGUAGUCUGAGGAGUUCAUAACCCAUAGAAAUGUAUUGUCACAGAUACCGAAAGAUUCUUUGAGAUUCUUCUGUAACUCUUGAAAUGUUAAGAAGGAAAGAAGACAAGGGCAGUACAGGGUUCUUUGAACAGUGGGAUUGUGGGUAAUUUGACAUUGCCUUCUCCCCUUCAGCUCUGACACUGCAAACACGAAACUCCUGUAUAUCCCUCUUUCUGCUGUUUUCACCUUGUGCUGAAUGCCACCAGCCAUUUGAUUUAACUAUUGCAUUCCAGCUAGGAUCUCUGAGGCAAUGUCCUCAUAGUUAUCGCAUUAGAUACAAUUCCAGCUGGAAUCUCUGAGGAAAUAUCCUAAUGGUUAUUGCAUUGGACAGAAUGUCAUGAUUUCAUUAUUGCUUUGCUUUGAAAACAAGAACUUUUAAUCUGCAUGAGAUCAGGCUCAGGGAGGCAACAAAGCUGUUGCCUAAUAUGCAGAGGGUGAUGUAUGGUUGAUAGUGGAGGGUUCAAAUUUUGGCCCUGCUACUCACUGGGUUUGUGGUCUUAGGC